Molecule: ribosomal RNA, 459 nt
Filed under: uncultured bacterium
Lineage: Bacteria
Description: partial 16S ribosomal RNA
Rfam family: Bacterial small subunit ribosomal RNA
Source: RNAcentral
CCUACGGGAGGCAGCAGUGAGGAAUAUUGGUCAAUGGGCGCGAGCCUGAACCAGCCAAGCCGCGUGAGGGAAGACGGUCCUAUGGUUUGUAAACCUCUUUUGCCGGGGCGCAAAAGGCGCCACGCGUGGCGUUCCGAGCGUACUCGAAGCACAAGCACCGGCAAACUCAGUGACAGAGGCCGCGGUAAUUCGGAGGAUGCGAGCGUUAUCCGGAUCUAUUGGGUUAAAGGGGGGCGCAGGCGGAAGAUCAAGUCGGCGGUAAAAUUGAGUGGCUCAACCUCUUCGAGCCGUUGAAACUGGUGUUCGUGAGUGAGCGAGAAGUAGGCGGAAUGCGUGGUGUAGCGGUGAAAUGCAUAGAUAUCACGCAGAACACCGGUUGCGAAGGCAGCAUACCGGCGCUCAACUGACGCUCAUGCACGAAAGUGUGGGUAUCGAACAGGAUUAGAUACCCGAGUAGUC